AGCUAAAUGAGUGAUUAAACCAAAAUAUCUAGCUUUAUUAGAAAAGAAGAAAGAUAUAAAAUCAAUGAUCUAAGAUUCCACUUUUAAAAGCUGGAAAAACAAGAGCAAAAUAAGUACAAGAAAGGAAAUAAUAAUGAUAAGAGCAAAUAUUGUGACAUAGAGAACAAACAGAAACUCAAGAAAGCCAAAAGUUGGUUCAUUGAAAAUAUCAAUAAAAUUAGUAAAUUCCUAGCUAGACUCAUCAAGGGGAGAGCUAGAAAGAAAACAAAUUAUGAAUAUAAAGAAUAAAAGAGAAGAUAUCACCACAGAGCCUGCAGACAAUAAAAAGAAUUUUUAAGAUAAUAAGACAAUUAAAAUAAUAAUAAGAAAAUAUUAUAAAUUUAUGCCAAUAAAUUUGACAACAUAGAAGAAAUGGACAAAUCGCUUGACAAAUUACAACUUGCCAAAAUUGACACAAGAUGAAAUUGAAAAUUUAAAUGCUCUUAUCUGUUAAAGAUAUUGAAUUCAUUACCAAAACCCUUCCCAGGAAGAAAACAUCAAGCCGAGAUAUUUUCACUGGUGAAUAGCAAACAUUUAAGGAAGAAAUAACAUGAAACUUUCAGAAGAUAGAGCAGGAGGGAACACUUCCCAGUUCAUUUUACAAGGCCAGAAUAACCCUGAUACCAAAACUUAACAAAGACAUCAUAAGUAGAUAGAAUCCAGAUUUCAGUAUCUUAAUGCAUCAAGAUUUAUUUCUUACUAUACUACAUAUCCAAAAUAGGUCAUUAAGAAGGCUUUGCUCAUCAUAGACACUCAGGGACUAGGCUGAUGAAACUUACUUCUCAAUACAUGCUUCCACUGUGAUUGAGGCAGAAAAAGGAGACGUAGUGAAUUGCAUACUGAUUUUUAAAGCUUCUGCCCUAAAGUGACAUGUGUCACUUAUGCUCAUAUUCAUGAUCACAUCCCAGGGAGAUGGGGAAGUCCUAUCAUGUUCUUGGAAGGAGUAUGGCUAGUGACUAUCUCAGGAGUCACAGAUGUAUAUAUAGUAACAGAAGAGCCUAAAUAAGUCACGUGAAUGACCCGCCCAGUGAGAGAGCACAGAGUGGACAAGAAGGGGGCCCUGGCGCCUGGCCUUAAGCAGUGCCACCAGCCUGAGAGAGGAGGAUGAGCCUGUGAAGGAGGCUGAGGUAGAGCAACCAGAGAGAGAGACAGGGGAAAAACCAGCAACUCCCUUUUUCUUGAAAAUAUUUCAUUCAUUCAAAAAAUAUUUAUGGAGCAUCUGCUAUGCGCCAAGCCGGUCCUGAGCAUGGAAGAAAGAGCAGUCGACAAGACAAAUGCCAUCCUUGUCCUCAGAAUCUAUUCCUGCAUCCAAAGAAGUCAAGUGGCCCAACCUCUUUGGCAAGGCAGGGGCCUCAGUUUGGACUGAUUUACUGAAAAGCGGCAAAUAGAAGCAAGAGCAAUGGGGGUCAGAGGAAAAUGGACUUCCCAUGAGAGGAAGGGGGUUGUUGGAUAGGGCUUGUCAUCUGGAAAGUCUUGGGGACUUUGGGGAAGGCACGGGUGUGUCCACACAUGUCUCUGGGGCAACUCAGUGCAGAGAAUCACUCUGUGCUUCGCAAGUGUCGUGACGUGCAGGUGGUGCUGUUGACGAUACGUGUGCGAAGAAAGACAACCCAACAAAAUGACACCCUCCUGGGAAGCACGCCCAUUCUGGUUUUUUGUUGUUGUUUUUUACUUUUGGUUGUAGAAAUUUGAAAUCGUAUACAAAAAUGGAGAAAAUAGUACAGUGAACCUCCGUGGCCCAUCAUCCUCGCUUCUACUGGCCUCUUCCUCCUCCAAACGCCUCCAGCCUGCCCCUGUCCCCAUGUGGCAGUUAACUGUGUACUUGCUCAUGAAAUCUUAGUUUCAGCUACUCCUGAAACGAGCACUAUUUCGAGGGCUUUUCUGCUAUGUGAGCCAACAAAUUUCUUUCCGUAUUUGAGUUUGAAGCAGAUUAUUUUCUCUAGAAAUGGAAAGAAUCCUGUCUAAUAUAGACACCCAGAGUUUAGUGUCGCCCAACCUUAUCUGCCUGUCACCCUGGGCCCAAGUGCUUAUCUAUGGCUGCAUAACAAAUUACCCUAAACUUAGUGACUUUGGCAACCAGCCUCUAAGAUGGCCCUUAAACAUUCUCACCUCCUGGUAUUCACGCCCUUGUGGAGCCUCCUCCCAUAUCCUGUCAAGGUUAGUCUGUGAGACCAACAGAAUAUAGUGGAAGUGAUGCCGUGUGACUUCCAGGCAAGGUCAUAAGAGACAUUGCACUUUGCACCUUGCUUCUCCUGGGCACAUCCCACUGCACUGUGGUGUCUGAGUGAGCACACAGGAGGGUACACGACCGAGCCUUGGGGAGUCAGGGAGGGCUGCCUGGUGGAAGCAGUGACUGAACUGUGUUCUAAAACCUACCCCCGCAAAUGCCCAGUGGACACAGGUCUCUGAAGGCAGUUCAGUGAUGACAUUCAUGCCUUCAGGACAGGCUGUCACGCCUUCCAGGAUGUCAAAAGACACAUCUGGCCAGUGUAUGCACCAUGGAAGGGAGAAAACCAGACAAGGCCCCCAGACACUAUUUUCCUGCUGGGCCACACAGGAUCAUUUUCUCAGGGACCCCCUGCAGCCAGUGCCCCAGCCUCUGUGGUCAGCUCAGAGAAGUGAAGCUAAAGGAAGAGCCAUAGUUUCCACAGGCAAGAAGUUGGGGGUGGGCUGUUGGAGAGGAGGUGUUGACCUCCUGCAAACACACAGACACACAUCCUGUGAGCUGAGCUACUGCCUAUGCUUGAGCCACCCCCACCUCUGUCGACCAGCUGUCUCCAUUCCUAUCUGUGCCUUCCCCAAACGGGGAGCCCAGAACCUGCUAGAAUGUCCCUCCCCCUCCAACAACAGCUCCUGGCUCUCCCGCCCACACACUUCCCACUCCGGCCCCCUCCUUCCCAGCAGGGUCUUCACCAGGCCUGCCUCCUCUCCCUGGUUCUCAUUUGCACUUCAUUGGUCUUCUUUUCUUCCCUUUUGCUAGAUUUCCUUCCUAUGUGAUGUGACAUUGAGUGGGCAUGAGCAUGCGUCUCUGUGCACAUUCCUAAGAGUGUGUGUGUGUGUACAUGUGUGUACACCACUGGAUAUUGGUGUGUGUGCCAGACCCGGUGUAUGGGUACGUGCAUGCAAUGGGCUCAGAUAUGAGGUAGGCAGAGGUCCAGACCCUUUAGCACCUCCUGGAAAAGGCCUCCCUGCCCUGGCCCCAGCCUACCUCCCAGGCUUAUAUCUCAUGACACCUGCUUGGAACUCCCCCAACUCUUGCUCUCUCUCUCUCCUCAGCCUAGGGUUUCUGGUCCCAAUCUCCAUCCAUUAUUAGGCAAACUACUGCUUGUCCUUUAAGACUGGGCUCAAGCGUCACCUCCUCCCAGGAGCCACCUUGAGCCCUUGUGUCUGAGCUGGAUGCCCCCUACAGCAAUGGCCCCCAUCUCAUCUCUGCCCAAGGGCCAGCUGCUUGAGGGCCAGGACCUUGCCUGUGCUGGUCCCUUUCCCCCAGCAUCCAGCACGGCGCCUGGCUCAGGGUAGGAACUCAUUGCAGGGGGUGAAUGCAGCCACAGAGGCAGGGCAGAGAGGAAGACAGAAUUGGAGGCGGGGAAUAUAUAUGUAUAUAUAUAUUCUUUCCCCCAGCUAAUUAAUCUAGACAGAACUUUUCUCCUGGUAGAUUAAGGUUCAAGGGAAUUGUAGGGAUGUUGGGGAACGUGGGUUCAUUUUAUCCUUGGAAUUGAGGGGGAACUGUGUCCCCCAUCCCAUUACCCCCAUACACACUGGCACCACACCAGGCUGUGCUCUGGAAAGAAUGUGAGUUAUCACUCCUGUAAUCUUCCUGGCUUAAGGCCAGGGGCAAACACACUCGCAGCUCUGACCCUCACUAACCAUCCUCCCCACCCCAAACAAACGUUGAAGUCAGUCCUGGCCUGAGAAUGUGCUGGAAGACAUAGAGGGGAGGAAGGCCCCGCCCCCUCGGCCCCCACUGCUCCCCGAGCCAAUCGCGGAGCCCCUUUGGUUUCCGGAGCAAGGGUGAGGGGCGGGAGACGGGGAGUGGGACUGGAAGGGAUUUCCAGCCAGGCAGGCUGCAUGCUCCGGGGACUGACGCAACUGGAGAAUUUGGCUUCUUUUUAUCACAUAUAUCAUUUUGCCAUAUAUGGUCACCAAGAGCUACUGGCAGCCAGGCUCGGGCCCAGAUGGUGGGCUCCCAGAGUGAAAUGAGCUACAUACCAGCCCAGAACAAACAGACCAUCGCUCACUCGGCCGGACAGGUGGGUGGGCCAAGAGAGGGGUUAUAUAUAGUUCUGGUCGCAUUCCUUCACUAAUGCAUGUUGGCCCCCAAAUGCGCAAACAAUCUCCAUUUCUGGUUCUUUUUACUGAAUUUGCUAAUUGCUAUUCUUCUAUAACCAAGGGAACGAAAAAAUUCCAGGAGGAAUGUGGGGGAAGAGAGCUGCUGGCCAUUUCCCUUCCUUGAUCCUGUGACGGUCCCCUCCUCCCACUCCCCACCCCUUCUUCUCUCACAGCGCCCCUGAAGGCUUUCCCAUGGUGGCCACCCCCAGAGGGCCUGCCCAGCUGCCUCCCCUCAUUUCUCCUAGAAUCCCCUUCUUCCCUGUACCUCUCUCCAGCCCAGGUGAAGCUGGCCAGGUGCAGAUGACCCCCUGAGGCUGGACAGAAUUCAAAGCAGCAUAGACAAACAGCAGACAAGACCCGCAGCUCCCAGGCCCUGUCCUUGCCAGAUGUUGGUGGCUCACCGUCCCCAACUGGCCUGACCCAGCAAGAGAUGCCACCCCAGCCUUCCAGGGACCUGAAGGUAGCCCAAAUGGCAGCACAGGAAGACAACCCCUGAGAUUAUGAGACCCAAGUAAAUCUUGGUGAUCCCCAAAGGCCUCUGUGGGGACUUCACUUUCUACCUCUAGCCUGAGGCAGUCAAUAUUUCCCGGGUUUACACCUCCAGCCCACAUCUCCAGAGCUCCAGACUCGCAGGUCAGAGGUGGCACUGUUUACCUGCCAAGGUGGUGGUACAAGCCUAAAGCAAAGACAGAUGGAGCAAGACUAGACCAACUCUGAGUGGUGGGCACAAGCUUGGGGCUGUUCCUUCACAGGAGCAGCUGAAUCUCCCAAGUCAGGGACGAGGGAGGCAGCUAGCCUCCCACACAGUGUCUCAAAGCUGCCAUCAGAGAGAGCACACUCUGGGUAGAAUGUGGCUCUGUGAUCUCUGUCUUCUAAUUCACUCUAAAUAGUAGGGACUGCUUCUUCCAGCAUCGCACUCCCUGUGCCCCUAGAACACGGGGAGCUCAACCCUGCUAUAUGUGAGAAAUACAAGGGAGCGUUUACAAACUACUGCUGUCGAGACCCAGUACAUUCUGAUGCAAUGGUCUGGGGUAGGUCUCAGGCAUGUGAUGUGAUAUAUAUCUGCUCCCUCACACUUUCCUGGUCAUCUGAUGAGUAGGUACAGCUGCAAACCAGGGUGGCUCUUUCUGGGGUAUCUGACCCAAGCCCACCAGCUCCUGAUCCCCCAACCUGGGUCAGCCUCAGGUCCACCCAGCAAAGCCGCUGACCAGGGAGCUGAGGGGUCUAACUGGCCAGUAAGGGUGAUCCCUGGCCUGGGAGUCAGAAUCCUGACUCCCACCUGGCUCUGCCCUGAAUUACCAGGACCCCGUAACUCAGUGCUCCUAAUUUCCUACAACCCCAAUUUCUUCAACCACCAACUCAGGAGGCAGAGAAGUUUUAUAAAGACCAACGAGAUUGUUUACCCAGAGUAAUGCUGCUAAACAAAUACUCUGCACCCACCAUGCUAGGUGCUGAAGGCAUGUUAUUUCCUUUGGUUCUACUACUCUGCCCACUUUAAAGCUGAGAGAAUUGAGGCUCAGAGAAGCUAACUCACUUGACCAGGGUCCCACAACCACUAACUACAUGAGGGAGCUGGAAUACAAUUCCAGAGCUUGCAUGCCUAAGCACCACCUUUGGUUUACACACCAGAGGAAUAUGAAGGGACUUAUUGCUGGCUGUCUUUUCCCGGAGGUCAAGGCUAAAGCUGGCAAGACAUACUCUGGGAGGAUGGUUCAGGUCGUGCAGAGAAGUGCCCUUGGCACACUCCUUGAUGUUGGUGUGGCAGCGUUGGUUUCCCCACCCUCCAUCGUGGGCUGCCAAGGAGUGGCUGCAAAGCUUUCUUCUUCAUUUAGUAAGAGCACAAGAUGGUGGUUGGCCCAAAGAUGAGGUGACAUUAGCCAGCUGAGAGAGAACAGCAGCCUUCUCUGCCCAGCUGGAAGGAAAGAAAAAACAAAGGAGCAUGGCAGAGUGAACUGUGGGCCUGUCUCCAACUCUGAAAGCUAGUAGCCUGCAGGUUCAGAUCUCCCUGCAUCCCGCCGCUCCACUUUUCACCUUCUUUUGAGCAAACCCAGAAGAGGAAUUCGAGCAUAGGAGAGAGUGGAAGAUGAGGUUAGUGUCAUGAGGGAGUGAAGGUAGAAGCAACCUGAAUCCGAAAACUGGGGUGUGGUAACUGGAAUUGGCAAGUCCAAGAAGAGCUAAGAGGCCAAGUGGGAAAGGUCAGAGACAUGGCUUUGUAAGUGUGUGUCAUUUGUUGACUUAAUGGAACUUGAACUUAAAAGAUGAGAGUUCAAGAGGUUAUUGGUUGCCUCUGAGGUAUUUUGCCUGAAUUGAGGGUAAGCUGCCACCCGUGGGACUUUUUGUUGUGGUGUUUGAACAGUCUGAUUGCAGUCAGAGCGUGGAUAACCACAGAAUUAGCAUCCCUUGCCUCUCAUCAUCUUUAUUAAACAUACACAUACAAACACACAAACACACACCAACCUCUUAAGUUAAAAGAAAACCAAAUUUGAAAAACAAUAAUGUUAUAAGAUGGAAUAGAGAGAGACAAGUUUCUGGGUUCCCCAUGGCUCCCUCUUCGCUAAGGCCAGACGCGAUGGUUCUUGCUCUUCUCCCUCUCUGAUGAUCUCAGUGGGGGAGAGAAAACCUUGCCUUUUUGUCUCACCUGCUUGAUUUAAUGACUGACUACACUCCUCCCUCCUCUAAGAGAGGCUCAGCUCAAGUUGCACUUGGAAUGCCAUGCCUGUCUUCCAAUCCAGGGCUCUGUCUGCUGCACAUUGCCGGAGGGCUGGAACGGGCAAUGUGGGCUAGGUUUGAAGGUCGAGGAGAGAAGCCGCUCACUCACGCUCUGAUGAUGAGGCUUCUCGCUCCAGCACUGACGCGGGGUUCACUAUGUUAUAGCAGACAUGAAAUGUCAGCAGCAAAGCGCCCUUCUGGAUUUACUUUCCCACUUCCUUCCGACGGGGAAGAAGCAGGUAAGGGAACACAGGAAAAGCUUGCAUAAAGCUUCUUGAUCCAAUCAGGUACACGCCAGAGGAAAUACGUUUCCCAGAGGAAAUAAGAAACCACCAGAUUGAUGCCGAUGAGGUCCAGGUGAGGCAGGGCCAGGAAAACCAGACUCGGAAGGAGCUGGGGUCUUCAAAUCCUGUCAUUCUUUUGAAAUGUUUUCAUUACUGAAAUUUUCAAACGCAUACAAAAGCAGAGAAAAUAGUACAAAGAACCCCCUCGGACCUAUCAGGCAAUUUCAACAAUUAACCGCAUGCUGCCAUCCUUGCUUCAUCAUUUCCUGCCACGUGUUUGGGUUUCUUUCUGGAAUAUUUAAAAGCAAAUUUCAUGUACAUUAAUUCACCUGUAGAUACGUCAGUAUUUAUCUCUAACAGAAACAGAUUUUUAACACAACCAUCAUACCAACAUCACAUCCAACGAAAUAAAUAAUAAUUUCUUAAUAUAGAUAAUCUGUGUCCAGUUUUCUCUGU
Equus caballus (horse) is the source of this 7817-nucleotide long non-coding RNA. The record is from Ensembl. NCBI's taxonomy places the organism in Eukaryota, Metazoa, Chordata, Mammalia, Perissodactyla, Equidae.